ACGAACGCUGGCGGCGUGCUUAACACAUGCAAGUCGAACGGAAAGGCCCUGCUUUUGUGGGGUGCUCGAGUGGCGAACGGGGGAGUAACACGUGAGUAACCUGCCCUUGACUUUGGGAUAACUUCAGGAAACUGGGGCUAAUACCGGAUAGGAGCUCCUGCUGCCUGGUGGGGGUUGGAAAGUUUCGGCGGUUGGGGAUGGACUCGCGGCUUAUCAGCUUGUUGGUGAGGUAGUGGCUUACCAAGGCUUUGACGGGUAGCCGGCCUGAGAGGGUGACCGGCCACAUUGGGACUGAGAUACGGCCCAGACUCCUACGGGAGGCAGCAGUGGGGAAUAUUGCACAAUGGGCGGAAGCCUGAUGCAGCAACGCCGCGUGCGGGAUGACGGCCUUCGGGUUGUAAACCGCUUUCGCCUGUGACGAAGCGUGAGUGACGGUAAUGGGUAAAGAAGCACCGGCUAACUACGUG
RNAcentral lists this ribosomal RNA (467 nucleotides) under uncultured bacterium. RNAcentral's name for it is "partial 16S ribosomal RNA". It matches the Rfam family "Bacterial small subunit ribosomal RNA", at positions 29 to 507 of the family's 1533-position model. The record is from RNAcentral.